AGAGUUUGAUCCUGGCUCAGAUUGAACGCUGGCGGCAGGCCUAACACAUGCAAGUCGAACGGUAACAGGAAGCAGCUUGCUGCUUUGCUGACGAGUGGCGGACGGGUGAGUAAUGUCUGGGAAACUGCCCGAUGGAGGGGGAUAACUACUGGAAACGGUAGCUAAUACCGCAUAACGUCGCAAGACCAAAGAGGGGGACCUUCGGGCCUCUUGCCAUCGGGUGUGCCCAGAUGGGAUUAGCUAGUUGGUGAGGUAACGGCUCACCAAGGCGACGAUCCCCAGCUGGUCUGAGAGGAUGACCAGCCACACUGGAACUGAGACACGGUCCAGACUCCUACGGGAGGCAGCAGUGGGGAAUAUUGCACAAUGGGCGCAAGCCUGAUGCAGCCAUGCCGCGUGUAUGAAGAAGGCCUUCGGGUUGUAAAGUACUUUCAGCGGGGAGGAAGGGGAUGUGGUUAAUAACCGCAUUCAUUGACGUUACCCGCAGAAGAAGCACCGGCUAACUCCGUGCCAGCAGCCGCGGUAAUA
RNAcentral lists this ribosomal RNA (528 nucleotides) under uncultured bacterium. RNAcentral's name for it is "bacterial SSU rRNA". It matches the Rfam family "Bacterial small subunit ribosomal RNA", at positions 8 to 525 of the family's 1533-position model. The record is from RNAcentral.